UUACGGCCAAAUCAUGUUCAAACAUUGAUUCUCGUACGAUCACCGUUGUUAAGCAACGUCGAGCCUGGUCAGUAACUAGAUGGGUGACCGUUUAGGAAUAGCAGGUGCUGUAAG
Non-coding RNA from Acanthosepion pharaonis, 114 nucleotides. Lineage: Eukaryota; Metazoa; Mollusca; Cephalopoda; Sepiida; Sepiidae. The record is from the annotation of a GenBank genome assembly.